Molecule: ribosomal RNA, 416 nt
Filed under: uncultured microorganism
Description: bacterial SSU rRNA
Rfam family: Archaeal small subunit ribosomal RNA
Source: RNAcentral
GCGCACCAGUCGAGAAACUUCACACUGUGCGAAAGCACGAUGAGGGAAUCCCAAGUGCUUGCACGUAAGUGUAAGCUGUUUCUCUGUCUAAAACGCAGAGAGAGUAAGGGCUGGGUAAGACGGGUGCCAGCCGCCGCGAUAAUACCUGCAGCUCAAGUGGUGACCGUUAUUAUUGGGGCCUAAAACGUCCGUAGCCGGUUUAAUAAAUGCCUGGGUAAAUUGUGUAGCUUAACUAUACGAAUUCCGGGUAGACUGUUAAACUUGAGACCGGGGAGAAGUUAGAGGUACCCCUGGGGUAGAGGUGAAAUUCUGUAAUCCUAGGGGGACCACCAGUGGCGAAGGCGUCUAACUAGAACGGGUCUGACGGUGAGGGACGAAGCCCUGGGGCGCAAACGGGGAUUAGAUACCCCUGUAGU